UUUAAACUAGGGAUUAGAUACCCUAUUAUUUUUAUUAAAAUUUAAUUUAAUUUAAUCAUUAAAUGUAAAUCAUUAAAAAUAAAAAAUUUGGCGGUAUUUAUUAUUUAGAGGAACUUGUUUAUUAAAUUGAUAAUCCACGAAUGGAAAGACUUAAUAAUUUUUUUAUGUAUUGUUGUUGUAAAAUUAUAUUAAUAGGUAUUAAUUAAUAAAUUUAAUUUAAUUAUAAUUCAAAUCAAAAUGUAGAAUAAUUAAGAGUUUAAUGAGUUACAAUUAAGUUAAUUUUAUUGGAUUUUUAAUAAUUUAAUUUUAUAAAUGAAAAUGGAUUUAAAAGUAAAUAUAUAUAAAUUAUAAAUGAA
RNAcentral lists this ribosomal RNA (356 nucleotides) under Camponotus sp. MG053. RNAcentral's name for it is "partial 12S ribosomal RNA". Lineage: Eukaryota; Metazoa; Arthropoda; Insecta; Hymenoptera; Formicidae. The record is from RNAcentral.